This is a long non-coding RNA of Haliotis rubra (blacklip abalone), 245 nucleotides long. RefSeq lists it as uncharacterized. The record is from RefSeq and is a predicted model, not a curated record. NCBI's taxonomy places the organism in Eukaryota, Metazoa, Mollusca, Gastropoda, Lepetellida, Haliotidae. The transcript is spliced from 2 exons.
GUUUUCGACCUGCUCAUGUCAAAGGGAGCUGAUCUCACACUAAAAGCUGACAACAAUGACACCGUCCUUCAUCUGGCAUGUCAAGGUGGAAAUACUCCCAUUGUUGAAUACCUGCUAACACUGUUUGACAUUAAUUGUCGUGGACACAUGGGUCUCUCACCAGUGAUGAGAGCAGCUGUUUUUGGAAAGAAGGAUGUUUUCGACUUGCUCAUGUCAAAGGGAGCUGAUCUCACACUAAAAGCUGA